Long non-coding RNA from Camelina sativa (false flax), 486 nucleotides. RefSeq lists it as uncharacterized. The record is from RefSeq and is a predicted model, not a curated record. Lineage: Eukaryota; Viridiplantae; Streptophyta; Magnoliopsida; Brassicales; Brassicaceae.
UCUUCCGCCGCAACUCUCCCAGAUCCAAAAGGUUUUCUUUGCUUUUUGCCUAUCUCUGCCGCAUUUAAAAAAGGUUUUCGAUCUUCUCUUUUGGUGAACCGAUUGUAAAAGAUUUCAAUGGAAGCAAAAGGAAUCAGAUGUGGCCUCCCAGCAAAGAACGUGAUACCGAAAAUCAAACAAAUAGGUGAACAAGGUGAGGGAAGUCGCGCGGAUGAUGAUGUGAAGGAGAUAACAAGGCUAGAGUACAGAAAAUCUCUCGCUCACCUAGGCUACUUAAUACGCAUCAAGGAAGACGAAGAAGACAUUGAUCCACUGUAGUACAUGAGAAUUAUCUGAGACAUCCAAAACAAACGCCCAAAAGUAGAAGGAUCGUCACGAUCUGGAAACGCUACUUGAAGAUUGUACUGUUAGAAUUUAUUGUCUUUGUUAUUUUGUAAACUUUGUUAACUAUCCACAUGUAUGUUUAGACUUCGUCAACUUUUUAUA